Molecule: long non-coding RNA, 3128 nt
Filed under: Homo sapiens (human)
Lineage: Eukaryota; Metazoa; Chordata; Mammalia; Primates; Hominidae
Description: PREDICTED lncRNA (TCONS_00183013)
Source: RNAcentral
AUUCAACUUUGUAUCACCUGAGCUUAACUAACACCUGGCACAGAGAAGAAACAUAUUAAGGAUUUGCUGAGAGAAUAAGAUAGUAUAACUUGGUCUUAUAUCUAAGGUUUGAUUUUCUAGGAACCUAUAGUGAAUUUUAGGCUUGCUUUUCAGUUUUUGUAGCAGGGAUGUAGCACAGGUUUGGGACUCAGCACACCUAGUCUGAAAGCUGAUUUCUGUCACAGCAUGCAUGAGGGACAGUCUCUUCAGUUUAUUUAUACCUUAGUGCUGUGAUUCUCGAGCUUAUAGACACUGUGAGGACAGAAUUUUAGCUCUUUAAACAAAGGGGGGCAAAUAUACAGUGACCUCUAUCUAUGUAGGUAUUUAACUGAAAGGAAUUCCAGGGCCAAGUGUGUCUACUAUUAAAAGAAACGUACUUUUCUUACAAUGUAGUCCCUGAAUGCAAAUCAUGGUUUUAUCUGGUGGGCAACUGAAGAAACAGCAAUCUGAACUGAUAUGGGAGGCAGACCUCACUGUAACAGGAUUAGUGAGAAACAGUGUUUGUGGCUCUUAAUUGCUCAUUUUUUUUUUUUUAAUGGGGGAUGUUAGGGAUUUUCUAAGGGCAGGUUUAUCCAUAUGCAGAGUUGAUGUUAGGAUGUAAUACCACAAAGAUGUAAUUAACUCCUCUGUUUGUGGUCUCCAUGUUAAUUCACUCUCAUAAGAGGGUAUGCAGUGUGGUCACUAUUCUACCACCAUUUUUAAGAAAAAAUUUAAAACUAUUUUUUAUCUUCCAAAUUAAAUAUUUUGCUAUUUGAUAAGUUAACAAUGCAACAGAAAAUCAAUAUAACUUUUAUCUUUACCAGAAGCCAUAAAAGUCUAUCUAGGAAAAUUUCAGAUGUGUGAACAUGGCUUUAGAGAAGGAACUCAACUACAGACUAUAAGAAAUGUAAAACCAAGCCAGGUUCCUGUUGUGGUCCUUUAUUAUGACCUGGUGACCUAAGCUAGAGAAUCACAGCACUAAGGUAUAAGUAAACCAAAUAGCAUGCAUUGGCUUUAGUUCAGAAGGGGAUUUUUGUGCAGAAAAUAAAUUGAAAGUAGGGCCUCUGGCCAGCAUAAACAGAUAAGAAAAAAGUAUGAUUCCCUACGUCUCAAAAAUGACUCCUUCACACAUCCCACCAAUCAAAGAUCCAUUUGGAAUAACAGGUCUUCUAAAAGCUGCCAUAGAAGUUAAGCCUCCUACCACCUAUACUUCUGUGUGAAUUGAUUUAGUCUGGAGGCAUUUUGAUUGCUUUUCUCCUAACACCUAACUUAGAAGGUGAAAUAGAGGUCUUGUUUGGAGGGAAUUGAAGAAGGAAAAGGAAAGGGCAAUUUCAGAUCAAGGGAUAUGUUGGAAUGGUGGAAAAGUAGGAUCAUUAGGACAGCUGGGAACAGUCUUUUAGUUCUUGGAAGCCAGGAAAAAGAUGUAGAGAGAAGGGCAGAAGUGGUCAAGGCUCCAUGAAAAGGAGGAUGUAGCAGUCAAAUUGGAUGUCGACCAUGCAACAAUGACGUCAGGAACCCUGCUUGGUAUACCAUCUGUACCUGUCUGUACAGAGUUUCACUCUUGUUGCCCAGGCUGGAGUACAAUGGCAUGAUCUCGGCUCACUGAAACCUCUGCCUCCUGGGUUCAUUCAAGCGAUUCUCCUGCCUCAGCCUCCUGAGUAGCUGGGAUUACAGCCUCCUCUACAUACCUCCACCUUCUAACUCCAAGAAGUCAAAAUGAAGUCUCACCAUAUUGAUCAGACUGGUCUUGAAGUCCUGGCUUCAAAUGAUCUUCCCUCCUCAGCCUCCCAAACUGCUGGGAUUAUAGAUCUUGCAGACAACAGAUCAUGGAACUUCUUGGCCUCCAUAAUCUCAUGAGCCAAUUUCUAUAUUCCAUAGGGGAAAGAAGGAGAGCUGAGAAUGCACAGAAAUUUUCAUGUGCCAAGUUUGGAAGUGCAAAAAGACCUUUAGGUGCGGGCCCUCUGUCUUGGACUUCUCAACCUCCAGAACAAUGGUGUCAGAAGCAGGAUCCCAAGCAGAGCUUCUAGUGACCUCCAGGAGCGCUGAGUGAACACUCGAGGUACCAGCACUCGAGGACCCACUUGUGUCCAUGGAUCUCUCAGAGCGGCUCCGGAUGGUAAAAAGCAAUUUGAAGGGGUGUUCUAUACUUUGGCAGAGGAAACCCAUUCCCUCUCAAGGAGAAGCAGUGGACACAGUCUCCGAAGUUGAGAGCCAUUUGAGAAUCAGUUGAGAAGUUUGAGAACCAGGUAUGUGGGGCUUUGGUAUCAGGAUGAUGCUGGCCUCAUAAAAUGAGUUCAGGAGGAUUCCCUCUUUUUCUAUUGAUUGGAAUAGUUUCAGAAGGAAUGGUACCAGCUCCUCCUUGUACCUCUGGUAGAAUUUGGCUGUGAAUCCAUCUGGUCCUGGACUUUUUUUGGUUGGGGGUCCUGAAACCAAUCCUUCGUGGAUACCCAGGGACAAUUCUAUCUGGCUGGAUUCUGGGAAGUGAACUUAUGGAAUCAAAGGUUAUGCAAACAUUUUUGAGACUUAGACUGGCUCUCCUUGCUCCUCAAGCUUGUAGACAGCCUAUUGUGGGACCUUGUGAUCAUACUUGAAACACUUGUACAUCAGCUCAGAGUGUGCAUUGUCCACUGCAAAUACUAGUGCAAAUUAAGAAGAAGAGAAAAAAGAAGGUCCACGAGCUACCAAUGACAUCUAGGACUGCUUCUGUCUCAUAGCACAUACUCCUCCCACAAGGACUACAAAUGACAAGAGAAAAUUUGUAUAAUUGGAAUUCUGGACAUUUCUCAAAUGCUCAUUGACUCAAAUACUUUCUGCUGUAUUUGGAAUUUUCAAACCAAAACAUGAUAGCAACCAGACCAGAAAAAUGUAAUUGACCAGAAAUGUCCUACAAUAUUUACAAUAUACUCAUUUUUCUGCAUGUUCAAUUUUAAAAGUUGGGUAUUCUGUACUGGAAUCUAAUGGGAUUUGACUAAUAAUCCUCACAAAAAUGAUGCCAGGAUGUUCUUCAGCUUUUGAUAGACUUUAAAAUACACAGGCAGCAUAAUCUUGAGCAAGAAAAGAGCUGACUUUCUGUACAGGAGAAAUAAAGAAUAGUGUAGCACUUGACAACC